UAGCGAAGCUCUUGAUCGAAGCCCGAGUAAACGGCGGCCGUAACUAUAACGGUCCUAAGGUAGCGAAUUUCCUUGUCGGUUAACUCCCGACCUGCAUGAAUGGCGUAACGAGAUGGGAGCUGUCUCAAAGAGGGAUCCAGUGAAAUUGUAGUGGAGGUGAAAAUUCCUCCUACCCGCGGCAAGACGGAAAGACCCCGUGGACCUUUACUACAGCUUGACACUGCUACUUGGAUAAGAAUGUGCAGGAUAGGUGGGAGGCUUUGAGUAUAUGACGCCAGUUGUAUAUGAGCCAUUGUUGAGAUACCACUCUUUCUUAUUUGGGUAGCUAACCAGCUUGAGUUAUCCUCAAGUGGGACAAUGUCUGGUGGGUAGUUUGACUGGGGCGGUCGCCUCCCAAAUAAUAACGGAGGCUUACAAAGGUUGGCUCAGAACGGUUGGAAAUCG
Molecule: ribosomal RNA, 444 nt
Filed under: Campylobacter jejuni
Lineage: Bacteria; Pseudomonadati; Campylobacterota; Epsilonproteobacteria; Campylobacterales; Campylobacteraceae
Description: bacterial LSU rRNA
Rfam family: Bacterial large subunit ribosomal RNA
Source: RNAcentral